GUCCGUUUGCCUCUCGUUCCUCUCUCACUGUUGCUCGCGGUCGAUCACCAGCUCUACCAUUGUCGUCGAUUGGGCCCCUUCAUUGGAGGUUGGUGUCGUCACGUAGACCACCUUGACCUCUAUUCCUCCUUUCAUACAAUUGCAGUAGGAUGGACUCGCGAAAAUCACGAUUCGCGAUUGUGUAACCUCGCCGACCAAGAGGGCUAGGGAUCUGUUGCUGCGGCCGGUCAUCUGCAAAGGCUUGGUGUCAUCUUUCCUGGCUUGGGUCGAAGUGGGGUUGGGGUAUAGUUAGCGUUCCCAUACCGGUUGCAACUCUUGGACUUCUUACUUCCAGGUGAGUGUCUUCGUUGGAAUCUGAAUAAUCUUCUUUCUGUUGGAUUGGUUGUUUUGCAAUGUAUUCAUUGUAAUCUAAUUUUUUUCCUUGUUGUUGUGUUCUUGGAACGAGGCUGUUCUUCACAGUUAACGCAGUCACCAUUUGCGUGAGAUUGCGAAGAGCUUCGUCGAUCUCCUCGAUUCAUUGUUCGAGUUUGUUGAGCUUCCGUUCGUCGUCAGUGGUCC
This 558-nucleotide long non-coding RNA is filed under the name Olea europaea subsp. europaea. The record is from RNAcentral. Lineage: Eukaryota; Viridiplantae; Streptophyta; Magnoliopsida; Lamiales; Oleaceae.